Molecule: long non-coding RNA, 425 nt
Filed under: Phoenix dactylifera (date palm)
Lineage: Eukaryota; Viridiplantae; Streptophyta; Magnoliopsida; Arecales; Arecaceae
Description: long non-coding RNA (PDAC_LNC020199)
Source: RNAcentral
GUCCGAACCCAGUUGAGUGGAGUUAAUCCCAGCAGGCCCAAUUAAUACUAAAUUAGGCCCAGUAAAUUGACAGAGGACCCAAUUGGCUAGAAAAGAUUGGACCCAAUUAUAAACGAGGCCCAAUCCUUCAAUUGAAAACCCAAUCAACCCAUGUGGGCCCAAUCUGGUGUUAAAUCGAACUCCAAAGGCUUCAAAUUGGACUUUGGCUAGAUCCUUGGAUGGGAUCCAAGCAAGUAAGUUCAUAGUAUGAUGAACUAAGAGAUUUUAUAAUAAAUAAAUGGGGAAUAAUGUAAACCCUAUGAUGUUGUUUUAGGUGAUUAAGGAUUUGUCACCUGGACUUGAGCAAUUUGGAAAGCGAAUUGAGGUAAGUAAUCUAUCUUAAUCUUAUCGUAGAUCUUGUAUUACGUUUUAUAAGAUGAACCAGU